GUAAAGGCGAGGAUGGGGAGAGUACCCCUGCCCAAGAGCCCCAAGCGAGCCGGGGAGGGUGGGAGCCCGGCGGUGAGGGCAGGCGGGAAGAUCACCCCGGAGCCGCGGGAGGAAAGGGGCCCAAGGCCCCGAGUAAUGCCCGCCGGGUGGCGCCCGUGAUCGCGCCCCAACGAGGGCCUGGGGGCUUCCCCAGGAAGCGCGGUGGUACCGCGGAAGCCUUUUGUGGCUUUCGUCCGCGCC
Molecule: non-coding RNA, 240 nt
Filed under: Thermus thermophilus
Lineage: Bacteria; Thermotogati; Deinococcota; Deinococci; Thermales; Thermaceae
Source: RNAcentral